CCUCACUGGGGUGUACUCUCCACUCGGACGAUAAGAAAUGGAGGCAAAUGUGUUCCCGUUAACGUGCGCAGGCCCUUUGCCAUCGCCCUCCUCCUUGCAUGCUCCUGUCCGUACCCUUCGCUUUAACUCUCCAAGGCCAGUCGGCUCAGUUUUGAGAAGGAGCAUGGGCAAAGAAGAGCCACUUCUUGAAGGAAUGCCAAAGGAGUAUUACGAUGAUGAAUGGCAAGCUCAACAACGGGAAAAGUGUAAGGAGUUGGAGCGGCUGCGUCAGCUGGAAGAUGAAGAAGAGGAAAGAAAGAUUGCAGAGUAUCGUGAAAUUGGCUUGCGCUUGAAGGGAUAUCCACAAGAAGAUGUAAUAAAAGCAAGAAAACUGGUUUCAAGCUUUAUCAGAGCUGCUGAAGAAGUGGAAGAGAAAAUUGAGGAAGCUGCUGAGAAAGGAGAACUGAAUGAACUUGUUCUAAUGGUCAUAUGGAAUCGGCUUGAUCUUGCUCGACGUGAUGAUGAAAAGGAUGCUAUUAGAAGUCUUGAUCUUUUAUACAGAAGGGUUGAGAUGGAGAUUUUGAAAAUGGAGGCCACACCUUCUAUGAGACUGUUGAACGAUCUUUUGAAUAUGCAUGAUGGGUUUGACGAUGAAGGCUGGCUGAAAGAAUGCAAAAAAUGCAUGAUUAAUACCUUUCCACGAGAGGAUCCAUUUAGCAUUCUUGUUCCAGCAGGGUUUGAUGUUGAUAAGCAUCAAGGGCCGUUGCGACCACCACUAGAAGCAGAUGAUGUUCUUUUGAGGGUAGAUUUUGUCAGGGAAGUUGAUUCUUUGCUCCAGGAAGUUCGGCAAGAGGAAAGUGAAGCACAUAAUGUAGAAGGGUUUGAUCCUGAAUCUGUUGCAAUCAAACUCAAGCAACAAGAGAAGCAACAAACGAUAAGGCAAGUAGAGGCUCUGCUGGACCUAGCCAUUAAUUUGAAAUGGUAACCUAGCCACAUACUUGGUCCAGCUUUCAUUCAGUGAAGAGAGACACAACCCCACCCCACCAUUCCCCUCCGUCACCACCACACACCCCCACCCCCC
Molecule: unclassified non-coding RNA, 1060 nt
Filed under: Hevea brasiliensis (rubber tree)
Lineage: Eukaryota; Viridiplantae; Streptophyta; Magnoliopsida; Malpighiales; Euphorbiaceae
Source: RNAcentral